UUUGCCAUUUACUGUUGUCUUCUUUGGGUCUGUUUUUAUAUAUAUAUAUAUAUAUAUAUAUAUUGUGUUAAUAUUGUACAAGAUGAAUUUUAUAGAUACUCAACUAUGCACUCUGUGCCUUGUUAUAAGAAAUGAGUAACAUUUCUUAUAGUCUGGAUUACGGUUCAAAUAACAUUAAUUUUACAGUAUCACUUAUUGUUAUAUGCAUCAUUGAUCAAGUAAAUGAGAUUAUAACUUUGUUUCAUUAUAUAUACUGUAGCAUUUAUCAGCUCUUUAUACCUGUCCACAGGUUCGGCCCUGUAACUGUCACUUGAUUUAUGAUGAUGACCAGGAAAACAUUGGCCUUUAAUGUUUGACUCAGAAAAGUCCUGGCCUGAGUUCUGUAAGGAGGCAAUACUUAAACUGAAUUGUUUGUUUAAGGAAGAUUGAUGCAUUCCAAGAAACUUCUGAUUUUGGAAUAAAUGAUUCUGUUUCUCAAAGUGUGCCUCUUAUUUACUCAAACGCUCCAGGGUUCUGCAAAAUUGUUAUAAUGCAAAAGAAAAUGUAAAUUUUAGAGAUUGAAUGUAUUUGGUGAAAUGACCUCUGAGCCUGUUUCUUUCAGAAUGCGUGGCCCGGUGGAACAGUGAGGCUUCAUCAGACUCUGGUCCCAGGAGAAGGUCAAGCUGUUGAUGUUGAGGACACAGUGGAGGUGGCCAAUUCUGGAUGACUUUUACAGAAACUCUCUCUGGGACAGCCAUAUUUCUUCAGACAACACAUCUGGACUCAUCAAUCUCCCCAUCCCAGCAAAUUCCAUAACAAAGAAAGUAUGAGUCUGAAAAAGGUAGAGGAACAGAACCGCAAAAGAGGUGUGCCCUACCCUUUUCUUCACACUCCAAUUUCCUGCUCUCCAGUCAGAUUAAAGGCCCUAAAAAAGCCCUUUAAAAACACGUAAACAUAUACAUUGACACACAACUAAUUGGUUAACUGGGGCAUUGGGCUCCUCCACUACUC
Molecule: long non-coding RNA, 990 nt
Organism: Carassius carassius (crucian carp)
Lineage: Eukaryota; Metazoa; Chordata; Actinopteri; Cypriniformes; Cyprinidae
Exons: 3
Source: RefSeq, a predicted model, not a curated record